RNAcentral lists this ribosomal RNA (501 nucleotides) under uncultured bacterium. RNAcentral's name for it is "partial 16S ribosomal RNA". It matches the Rfam family "Bacterial small subunit ribosomal RNA", at positions 30 to 523 of the family's 1533-position model. The record is from RNAcentral.
AUUGAACGCUGGCGGCAUGCCUUACACAUGCAAGUCGAACGGCAGCACGGGUGCUUGCACCUGGUGGCGAGUGGCGAACGGGUGAGUAAUACAUCAGAACGUACCUUAUCGUGGGGGAUAACGCAGCGAAAGUUGCGCUAAUACCGCAUAAGCCCUGAGGGGGAAAGCGGGGGACCGUAAGGCCUCGCGCGAUUAGAGCGGCCGAUGUCUGAUUAGCUUGUUGGUGAGGUAAAAGCUCACCAAGGCGAUGAUCAGUAGCUGGUCUGAGAGGACGAUCAGCCACACUGGGACUGAGACACGGCCCAGACUCCUACGGGAGGCAGCAGUGGGGAAUUUUGGACAAUGGGGGCAACCCUGAUCCAGCAAUGCCGCGUGAGUGAGGAAGGCCUUCGGGUUGUAAAGCUCUUUUGUCAGGGAAGAAACAGCAGCUCUAACACAGUCUGCGAAUGACGGUACCUGAAGAAUAAGCACCGGCUAACUACGUGCCAGCCGCCGCGGUAA